Canis lupus familiaris (dog) is the source of this 1784-nucleotide long non-coding RNA. RefSeq lists it as uncharacterized. The record is from RefSeq and is a predicted model, not a curated record. The transcript has 8 exons. NCBI's taxonomy places the organism in Eukaryota, Metazoa, Chordata, Mammalia, Carnivora, Canidae.
CGUGCGCCUGCGCCGCCGCCUCCAGCUUGUAGGCGCCGCUGCUGCCCGCCGGCGACGUGGCGCUCUUGGGCAGCGGCUGCAGCGGGUGCUCGGGCCGCUCGGCCUCCAUGGCGAAGCUGACGGGCCGCAGGAAGCAGAUGUCCAGGCUGGACUCGGAAGAGGCGGGCGAGCAGUUCUCGAAGAGGGCCGGGGCCUGGUACGGCUCCUCGUCGUAGGGCGCGGGCAGCGCGAAGAUCUCGCCGCCGUACUCGAACUCCUCGUAGCCCGCGGGCACGAAGCCGCGGGCGUCGGGCAGGAGCUCGGCCGGCGCGCGCAGGGAGCGCUCCACGUUGGCCAGCGGCUCGGCGGGCGAGGGCUCGAAGUCCAUCUCGGGGAUGGCCUGCAGCGGCCCGGCCAGCGCCUUCACGUCCUGCUCGGCGGCACAGAACUGCGCGGGCGCCAGGAGGCUCUCGGGCCUCUCGUGCUUUCUGCCCUCCAGCUCCCACUCACUGGGCUUCCCGGGCUGCAUGCUCUCCAUCAGGCUUGGCUGUGGCUGGCUUUUCUUCACUGGGGGCAUCAGAUGUCUUUAAAAGGAAAACAGAACACAAAAGGAGGUGUGCUUACGGUCGGUUAGUGCAGGCCUCAGCGGCCGAGGGCGACGGCGACGGGCGACGGCGGGCGCUACACGCUCUGUCAGCCGCAGCCCCGGCGCCGCGGGAGCCGCCCGCUCCGCUCUCUCGCCUCCACCCUCCCCUCGCGCCGGCGUGGGUCACCUACCAAGCUCCACAGGCUCCUCCAGCCGAGGAGGCCCCAUGAGCCCUGGCCCCCCACCUAGGGGGGUGAAAAUGCCAUCUGGCGAGAGGGUGCCCGAAGUCUCUGUCUGAGCAAGGAGGCUGCGUGUCGACGAGGCAAGUCGGCCAAGGAGCGUCCUGACCCGGCGCGCGCCGGGGAGCUCCGACCCACCCAGCUCACCCAGCUCGUGUCCAGAGCCCCCGAGGCAUCUCCUUCCUCUCACCUCUCGAUUUGUUUUGUCCUAGCGGUAUGAUACAAAGUCAUGGAAAGAGCUUUUGUUCGACUCCUGGACCUUCGCGCUUAAGAACAAUUACGUUUCUAAAUGGAAUGAAUGGGUAACGAUCUUGAAAGCUGUUGAAUCUUGAUGAUGAAGUACGGGGUUCACGGUACACCUUCGUAGGAAUAAAUCUCCAAGAACUCCUUGGCGUGGCCACUUUAGGACCCGUUCCUGCAGAGCAUGAAGCAAAUCGAGGUGCUGCUGGACAAGAUUUUCAGAGACAAGGAAGAAAUUCUGCUGGCUCAGAAUCUUAGAUGUGGAAGCAAUGCUGCACCAAAAGGCACUGCAUUACUAAAUGUCAUGGAUAUCCAGAAUCAAGGUGGUUGUCCCAAGCUGGCCAUGUGACCUCAGGUGAGCACACCAGGGGAAAAAAAUAUAGAAUAAGAAAGAUGCUGAAAGCAAUGUUUUCUUUUGGAAUUUGUCUUCCUUGGCUCCAUAAUGGAAGAAAGAGCUCUGUUCAAUGAAUAUAACUCACUCUGUCCCUGGCCUCUUCACACACAGAGGAAAAGGGGACUUAGAGGAUCUUAAAUCUGUGACUGCAUGACAAGAAACCAACAAUAUAAGAACAAAACAUAAGCUGCUGAUUCUUCAACAUUACAUCUUCAUUGUCCCUGGAUCAGGCCACCCCUUCUUCUCUGGACCUGUCAAAUGAAAUCAAGAAGGGAUAGCAGGAAGAACUGAGAGAGAGAGGCAGAGACACAGGCAGAGGGAGAAGCAGGCUCCACUCAGGGAGCCC